This 562-nucleotide ribosomal RNA is filed under the name Nakaseomyces glabratus. Its description in RNAcentral is "[Candida] glabrata partial large subunit ribosomal RNA". It matches the Rfam family "Eukaryotic large subunit ribosomal RNA", at positions 88 to 655 of the family's 3401-position model. The record is from RNAcentral. Lineage: Eukaryota; Fungi; Ascomycota; Saccharomycetes; Saccharomycetales; Saccharomycetaceae.
GGCGAGUGAGCGGCAAAGCUCCAAUUUUGAAAUCCUGGUACCUUUGGUGCCCGAGUUGUAAUUUGGAGAGUACCACUUUGGGACUGUACUUUGCCUAUGUUCCUUGGAACAGGACGUCAUGGAGGGUGAGAAUCCCGUGUGGCGAGGGUGUCAGUUCUUUGUAAAGGGUGCUCGAAGAGUCGAGUUGUUUGGGAAUGCAGCUCUAAGUGGGUGGUAAAUUCCAUCUAAAGCUAAAUACAGGCGAGAGACCGAUAGCGAACAAGUACAGUGAUGGAAAGAUGAAAAGAACUUUGAAAAGAGAGUGAAAAAGUACGUGAAAUUGUUGAAAGGGAAGGGCAUUUGAUCAGACAUGGUGUUUUGCGCCCCUUGCCUCUCGUGGGCUUGGGACUCUCGCAGCUCACUGGGCCAGCAUCGGUUUUGGCGGCCGGAAAAAACCUAGGGAAUGUGGCUCUGCGCCUCGGUGUAGAGUGUUAUAGCCCUGGGGAAUACGGCCAGCCGGGACCGAGGACUGCGAUACUUGUUAUCUAGGAUGCUGGCAUAAUGGUUAUAUGCCGCCCGUCUU